This 417-nucleotide ribosomal RNA is filed under the name uncultured bacterium. RNAcentral describes it as "bacterial SSU rRNA". It matches the Rfam family "Bacterial small subunit ribosomal RNA", at positions 355 to 786 of the family's 1533-position model. The record is from RNAcentral.
UGGGGAAUAUUGGGCAAUGGGCGAAAGCCUGACCCAGCAACGCCGCGUGGAGGAAGAAGGUCUUCGGAUUGUAAACUUCUUUUAUGAGGGACGAAGGACGUGACGGUACCUCAUGAAUAAGCCACGGCUAACUACGUGCCAGCAGCCGCGGUAAUACGUAGGUGGCGAGCGUUAUCCGGAAUUACUGGGUGUAAAGGGUGUGUAGGCGGGAUUGCAAGUCAGAUGUGAAAUACCAAGGCUUAACCAUGGAGCUGCAUUUGAAACUGUUUUUCUUGAGUACUGGAGAGGCAGACGGAAUUCCUAGUGUAGCGGUGAAAUGCGUAGAUAUUAGGAGGAACACCAGUGGCGAAGGCGGUCUGCUGGACAGCAACUGACGCUGAGGCGCGAAAGCGUGGGGAGCAAACAGGAUUAGAUACC